RNAcentral lists this ribosomal RNA (468 nucleotides) under uncultured bacterium. Its description in RNAcentral is "partial 16S ribosomal RNA". It matches the Rfam family "Bacterial small subunit ribosomal RNA", at positions 28 to 507 of the family's 1533-position model. The record is from RNAcentral.
GACGAACGCUGGCGGCGUGCUUAACACAUGCAAGUCGAACGGAAAGGCCCUGCUUUUGUGGGGUGCUCGAGUGGCGAACGGGUGAGUAACACGUGAGUAACCUGCCCUUGACUUUGGGAUAACUUCAGGAAACUGGGGCUAAUACCGGAUAGGAGCUCCUGCUGCAUGGUGGGGGUUGGAAAGUUUCGGCGGGUGGGGAUGGACUCGCGGCUUAUCAGCUUGUUGGUGGGGUAGUGGCUUACCAAGGCUUUGACGGGUAGCCGGCCUGAGAGGGUGACCGGCCACAUUGGGACUGAGAUACGGCCCAGACUCCUACGGGAGGAAGCAGUGGGGAAUAUUGCACAAUGGGCGGAAGCCUGAUGCAGCAACGCCGCGUGCGGGAUGACGGCCUUCGGGUUGUAAACCGCUUUCGCCUGUGACGAAGCGUGAGUGACGGUAAUGGGUAAAGAAGCACCGGCUAACUACGUG